Molecule: transfer RNA, 74 nt
Filed under: Candidatus Moraniibacteriota bacterium
Lineage: Bacteria; Candidatus Moraniibacteriota
Also listed under: 1 other name
Description: tRNA-Lys
Rfam family: tRNA
About the family: Transfer RNA (tRNA) molecules are approximately 80 nucleotides in length.
Source: RNAcentral
GGGUGUAUAGCUCAGCUAGGUAGAGCAGUGGCCUUUUAAGCCAUUGGUCGGGGGUUCGAUUCCCUCUGCACCCA